RNAcentral lists this ribosomal RNA (301 nucleotides) under uncultured bacterium. RNAcentral's name for it is "partial 16S ribosomal RNA". It matches the Rfam family "Bacterial small subunit ribosomal RNA", at positions 509 to 807 of the family's 1533-position model. The record is from RNAcentral.
CAGUAGCCACGGUAAUACGAAGGGUGCAAGCGUUACUCGGAAUUACUGGGCGUAAAGCGUGCGUAGGUGGUGGUUUAAGUCCGUUGUGAAAGCCCUGGGCUCAACCUGGGAAUUGCAGUGGAUACUGGGUCACUAGAGUGUGGUAGAGGAUAGUGGAAUUUCCGGUGUAGCAGCGAAAUGCGUAGGGAUCGGAAGGAACAUCUGUGGCGAAGGCGACUAUCUGGGCCAACACUGACACUGAGGCACGAAAGCGUGGGGAGCAAACAGGAUUAGAUACCCCCGUAGUCCCUGUCUCUUAUAC